GACGAACGCUGGCGGCGUGCUUAACACAUGCAAGUCGAGCGGUAAGGCCCUCGGGUACGACGAGCGGCGAACGGGUGAGUAACACGUGGGUGGACUUGCCCUCCAGCUCUGGGAGUAAGCCUGGGAAACCGGGGUACGUAAUACCGGAUAUGACUCCAUGACGCAUGUUGUGGGGUGGAAAGACCUUGUGCGGCUGAGGAUGGGCCCGCGGCCGUAUCAGCUUGUUGGUGGGGUGGAUGG
Molecule: ribosomal RNA, 240 nt
Filed under: uncultured bacterium
Lineage: Bacteria
Description: partial 16S ribosomal RNA
Rfam family: Bacterial small subunit ribosomal RNA
Source: RNAcentral